AGAGUUUGAUCCUGGCUCAGGAUGAACGCUAGCUACAGGCUUAACACAUGCAAGUCGAGGGGCAGUAUGAUCGAAGCUUGCUUUGAUUGAUGGCGACCGGCGCACGGGUGCGUAACACGUAUCCAAUCUACCCACCGCUCAGGGAUAGCCUUGCGAAAGUAAGAUUAAUACCUGAUGGUUUCCUUAUGUGGCAUCAUGUAUGGAAUAAAGAUUCAUCGGCGAUGGAUGAGGAUGCGUCCGAUUAGCUUGUUGGCGGGGUAACGGCCCACCAAGGCUACGAUCGGUAGGGGUUCUGAGAGGAAGGUCCCCCACACUGGAACUGAGACACGGUCCAGACUCCUACGGGAGGCAGCAGUGAGGAUAUUGGUCAAUGGUCGAGAGACUGAACCAGCCAAGUAGCGUGAGGGAAGACUGCCCUAUGGGCUGUAAACCUCUUUUGUUCGGGAAUAAAGUGCCGCACGUGUGCGGUUUUGUAUGUACCGUUCGAAUAAGCAUCGGCUAAUUCCGUGCCAGCAGCCGCGGUAAUACGGAAGAUGCGAGCGUUAUCCGGAUUUAUUGGGUUUAAAGGGUGCGCAGGCGGGCGAUUAAGUCAGCGGUGAAAGGCUCGGGCUCAACCGGAGCAGUGCCGUUGAUACUGGUUGUCUUGAAUGCGGUCAAGGCCGGCGGAAUGUGGCGUGUAGCGGUGAAAUGCAUAGAUAUGCCACAGAACACCGAUAGCGAAGGCAGCUGGCCGGGCCUGCAUUGACGCUCAGGCACGAAAGCGUGGGGAUCGAACAGGAUUAGAUACCCUGGUAGUCCACGCUGUAAACGAUGGACACUCGUUGUCGGCGACAGACAGUCGGCGGCCAAGCGAAAGUGAUAAGUGUCCCACCUGGGGAGUACGGUCGCAAGGCUGAAACUCAAAGGAAUUGACGGGGGCCCGCACAAGCGGUGGAGCAUGUGGUUUAAUUCGAUGAUACGCGAGGAACCUUACCCGGGUUAGAACGUAAGGCGAACGACACAGAGAUGUGAAGGUCCUUCGGGACGCCUUGUGAGGUGCUGCAUGGUUGUCGUCAGCUCGUGCCGUGAGGUGUCAGGUUAAGUCCUAUAACGAGCGCAACCCCUACCCCCAGUUGCCAUCGGUUCGGCCGGGCACUCUGAGGGAACUGCCCACGCAAGUGGAGAGGAAGGCGGGGAUGACGUCAAAUCAGCACGGCCCUUACGUCCGGGGCUACACACGUGUUACAAUGGGGAGUACAGAGAGCCGGUCUGCGGCAACGCCGAUCCAAUCCUUAAAGCUCUCCUCAGUUCGGAUUGGGGUCUGCAACCCGACCCCAUGAAGCUGGAUUCGCUAGUAAUCGCGCAUCAGCCAUGGCGCGGUGAAUACGUUCCCGGGCCUUGUACACACCGCCCGUCAAG
This 1398-nucleotide ribosomal RNA is filed under the name uncultured bacterium. RNAcentral's name for it is "bacterial SSU rRNA". It matches the Rfam family "Bacterial small subunit ribosomal RNA". The record is from RNAcentral.